Molecule: long non-coding RNA, 476 nt
Organism: Danio aesculapii
Lineage: Eukaryota; Metazoa; Chordata; Actinopteri; Cypriniformes; Danionidae
Exons: 3
Source: RefSeq, a predicted model, not a curated record
UCAGUUAAUAAUCAUUACACACUCUCCCCAACAGGUGAUUCACUUGAUAAGUGCACUGGAUAACGGACAACAGCAUUGACUCCCGAAGAUAAACUGUUAUCAGAGGCUUAAUGCUCUUCCUUGGUAAAAAGACAGAGUUUAUCAAGGACUACCAGGUUUGAGUACGAUUCCAUAACUAUUCAAGAGCACCUCAGUUCACUUGUUCCCAACAUGUUUGUGGACAACCAAUCCAGAGAUGAAGGUCACAAGAAAGCUGAAAUAGCCAUAGAGAGAGCAAACAUACUUUUUGGAGCAGAUUCUUGCACCUACUGUACCUCAUUGGCCGCAUUUAUGCACUGGAAGCUGUCCAAAGAAACUCAAAUAUAACUUUGAGGUCUUUCAUAAGGGCUUCUUCAAGCUUGAUGACAAACAGUAACAUGUUCCCCAACGUCCAAGAUCUAAAGGUCAGCUUAUUGACCAAAAAGCCAAACAGGCAU